RNAcentral lists this ribosomal RNA (497 nucleotides) under uncultured bacterium. Its description in RNAcentral is "partial 16S ribosomal RNA". It matches the Rfam family "Bacterial small subunit ribosomal RNA", at positions 28 to 507 of the family's 1533-position model. The record is from RNAcentral.
GAUGAACGCUGGCGGCGUGCCUAAUACAUGCAAGUCGAGCGAACAGACGAGGAGCUUGCUCCUCUGACGUUAGCGGCGGACGGGUGAGUAACACGUGGAUAACCUACCUAUAAGACUGGGAUAACUUCGGGAAACCGGAGCUAAUACCGGAUAAUAUAUUGAACCGCAUGGUUCAAUAGUGAAAGACGGUUUUGCUGUCACUUAUAGAUGGAUCCGCGCCGCAUUAGCUAGUUGGUAAGGUAACGGCUUACCAAGGCAACGAUGCGUAGCCGACCUGAGAGGGUGAUCGGCCACACUGGAACUGAGACACGCCCCAGACUCCGACGGGAGGCAGCAGUAGGGACUCUUCCGCAAUGGGCGAAAGCCUGACGGAGCAACGCCGCGUGAGUGAUGAAGGUCUUCGGAUCGUAAAACUCUGUUAUUAGGGAAGAACAAAUGUGUAAGUACCUAUGCACGUCUUGACGGUACCUAAUCAGAAAGCCACGGCUAACUCCGUG